RNAcentral lists this small RNA (998 nucleotides) under Pongo abelii (Sumatran orangutan). Its description in RNAcentral is "retained intron". Lineage: Eukaryota; Metazoa; Chordata; Mammalia; Primates; Hominidae. The record is from RNAcentral.
CUUCGUUCAGGGCUCAGUUCAGCACCCCCUGAACUGUCUGAGGAGCUGGAGUUGCUCCCUCCGCAGGCGCGUUUCUGUCUGCAGGUUUAUCCUGUUCAGUAGGUCAGGGUUUGUUAUUGACAACAAUGACCUGCCGUGAGCCCUUCUGCGAGUGUGGAGCUGGGGAGCAGGAAGGGCAGCCUUAGCUGUGCUGACGCUUUGCCCUGUCAGGGCAUUUGCACGUCAAAGGCAAAGAAGAAAAAAUGUCCAAAUCAUUAAAAAACUACAUUACUAUUAAGCCAUCGACUACAGCGACAGCGCCAUGCUCCAAGCUCAGCAGCUGCUCCUGGGACUGGGCUCUUUCCUGGAGGACGCACGUGCCUAUAUGAAGGGGCAGCUGGCCUGCGGCUCCGUCAGGGAAGCGAUGCUGUGGGAGAGGUAAGAGGCCCGCCUGGCACCCGGCGUGGCGCCCCUCCUGCGGCCUGCUGGGUGCUGCUGGUGGGCUCCUGAAGGUGAAGAGGGGCCCCCAGGAGACAGGGCACUGGACAGGAGGUUUGGGGUCAGGGACUUCCCAGAGAGGCCCCAGGAGACAGGGUGCUGGGCAGGAGGUGCAGGUGUGGGGUCAGGGGCUCCCCAGAGGCCACAGGAGACUGGGGGCUGGACAGGAGGUGUGGGGUCAGGGGCUCCCGAGAUGUACCAGGGAGACAGCGCUGGGCAGGAAGUGUGCCUGGGGCCCUCGGGCUCUGAGCCCCCUGCUCAGAGUGGCUUUGGGCUCGGCUUCCCUGUGCGAGGAGCGGAGCUGCUCAUCCCUCCCAUUCCUGACUGUGAGGAGCCAAAAGCUAUGAAACACACAGGCCUGGGCCCACAGCAUCGCCUCCACUCCCCACGCAUGGGUGUCCUGGGCAGCGCUGCACAUUCAUCCCGGCGUGCAGAGUCUUCCGUAUGGUCUUGGUGAUAACCCACCCCUGCCGCUUCAGCAGGGCAGGCAGCCAGUGGCCACAGGAGGCUGAGAUCCAGGA